Labrus bergylta (ballan wrasse) is the source of this 421-nucleotide non-coding RNA. NCBI's taxonomy places the organism in Eukaryota, Metazoa, Chordata, Actinopteri, Labriformes, Labridae. The record is from RefSeq and is a predicted model, not a curated record.
CACCUGGUACAAGGAGGAUGAAGACUCACCAACAGCUUCAGGACAGAUUUUUAACAUAAACAACACAAGUCCUGAACACAGUGGGCAUUAUAUUUGUAUCGCCCAAAAUACCAGAGGACGUCAUAACUCCACUGUACAUCUGAUUGUUUUGGAAGCAGGAGGAUGGAAACUGACGACUGCUGUGACAGUUCCUGCUAUUUUCCUCAUUAUCAUACUCAUCUUUGUCGUCAUAUGGAUCAUAAAGAAGAGGGCCUGCAAGCAACCGUCUGAGCCCGGAGACAGACCAGAGAACAGUGAACAGGUGAGGAAGUCUCUGAAUUUAUGAAUCAGGGACGGUUGAACUCUUGACAUAGUGUUUGAUUUGUUUGCCUUCAGCAAUGUUUGUCCUAUUUGUUUGCUGUAAGUGCUUAAGCUUUUGCUC